UGCCAGCAGCCGCGGUAAUACGAAGGGGGCGACCGUUGUUCGGAAUUACUGGGCGUAAAGGGCGCGUAGGCGGUCUUUUAAGUUAGGCGUGAAAUCCCCGGGCUCAACCCGGGAACUGCGCUUAAUACUGGAAGACUAGAAAACGGAAGAGGGUAGUGGAAUUCCCAGUGUAGAGGUGAAAUUCGUAGAUAUUGGGAAGAACACCAGUGGCGAAAGCGACUUUCUGGCUAUUUUCUGACGCUCAGGAGCGAAAGCGUGGGGAGCAAACAGGAUUAGAUA
Molecule: ribosomal RNA, 279 nt
Filed under: uncultured bacterium
Lineage: Bacteria
Description: partial 16S ribosomal RNA
Rfam family: Bacterial small subunit ribosomal RNA
Source: RNAcentral